Molecule: non-coding RNA, 725 nt
Organism: Aegilops tauschii subsp. strangulata
Lineage: Eukaryota; Viridiplantae; Streptophyta; Magnoliopsida; Poales; Poaceae
Source: RefSeq, a predicted model, not a curated record
CAUCUCCGUUGGUUAAAUAUUUCAGUGUUGUAGUCAAAGAAGACAUGAAACUUUUAACAGUUUUAUUUCCUGAUGGACGCGAAGGGUGUACUUUUACUCUGAAGGAUCAGUAAAUAGCGGGGCAACAGGGGUGGCUGUGGGACUGGAGCAGUGGAACGUGGCAACCCUGGUUGUGAUUGAGAGGGGCAAUUGUUCGAUUAAUAUUCAAUACGACUACCAUACCUGUGUGGCACUCUCUAGGGAUUUAAUGGUGCGAUUUUUCUCCAAGCAGGAAGAAACUACGGAGGAACUCAAUGAGUGGAGAAGUGCAUUAGAGAGUGCUUUAGCGCAGGCACCAAGUGUAGCGAGUACAGCGGGGCAAAAUCCAAUAUUCAACACUGAUGCAACAGAACCUUCUGAAGCUUCAACUGAACAUUUUCUUAUGGCAGGAGAAUGACAGACAGUAUGGUUGAAAUGGCAAGGUCUGCACAGAGGUUUCUUACUGUGUAUUAUGAUCAUGGGUCCAAUGUUGGUAGAACCAGGGGUCCUACCGGACCUGCUCCGGAGGUUGUAGGGGAAGGAUGGAGUGGGACGGGGUGUUGAUCGGGCGCGCCGGCGGCUGGGCGCCGUCGCGUCGGAGGGAGAUGGCGGCGGCUAGGGUUCCGGCUCCUCUGGGAGCCGGGCAAUAGGGAUAAUAAUAUUCUUAUUGCUUAAUUCCAAAAAGAGUCUUACAGCCUAUAUUUAUA